Felis catus (domestic cat) is the source of this 577-nucleotide long non-coding RNA. RefSeq lists it as uncharacterized. The record is from RefSeq and is a predicted model, not a curated record. The transcript is spliced from 3 exons. NCBI's taxonomy places the organism in Eukaryota, Metazoa, Chordata, Mammalia, Carnivora, Felidae.
CUCUGUCUCAAAAAUAAAUAAAAACUUUUAAAAAAAUUUUUUUUCUAAAAAAUAUGACAUUAGGUACAUGUAGUGAUUUUGCUUCUAAACCUCUGUUCUAAACAGAACAUGCCGGGGCAGUGACUUACGUCGAGACGGGACCGAGAAGCAGAGUUCUAGAUGUCUCCGAAAAUUACAAGAAAGUCCACGAUCCCGGGAGGGCUUGUGGAUCUUGAAAAGCUAGGGGUUUCACCCUAAUCAUGACCUGAGAGGUCUCUUCCCUCCCCUUCAAUUCCAGAAAUGUAUUUGAUGCUCCAGACAUACAUACCACAGACCCUGGACGUGAUGAGUCCUCUAUCCUGACGAAGCACACGUGGAAGGGUAUGACCCGUGCUUCCUCGGACCAGACAGUCAAAGGAAGAGACCCCCUCAAUACCCAGACAAAAAAAGAACGCUUGGAGAAAGAUCAACUUCACGUGCCCAAGCAACGCUUCAUCAACUUUGGAAUGUCACAAACGAUGUGAUUCUACAAGGCACCGGGAGACUGGCAGAAGGUUGCCAACUGUACCUUUUGCCAAAUGAAGUAAUAUUUUAAACA